Panicum virgatum (switchgrass) is the source of this 1101-nucleotide long non-coding RNA. RefSeq lists it as uncharacterized. NCBI's taxonomy places the organism in Eukaryota, Viridiplantae, Streptophyta, Magnoliopsida, Poales, Poaceae. The transcript is spliced from 7 exons. The record is from RefSeq and is a predicted model, not a curated record.
CCACUUGCUUGUUGCCUCGUUCCUUUGACAAAGACAGUGGCUCUCGAAAGGCUCGUGGGAGUUGGCUAACUGGCCAAGCCGAGGUCGUCGACGAUAUAGCAGAAAAUUCUGAUUCAUGUUGUGUAUAUAUGUGCUGAUGAUUCCUGCUGCAGCCACCAUGGUUAUCCCACCCUUUUGUGCUCUUCUUCAUUUCGCCACAAUCUUAAAUUAAUUAGUCACAAAAUAUUCUAUGUAUGGUCAUAUGCAUUGAUGUUUUCCUUGUUUUUUGAACAGACUGGAUAGAGAGCAAGGUCAUGCUUGUUUUUGCACGAGGGAACCAGAGCGCUACAAUUUCUAUAAGGGUGCAUUCUAACUGAGAUUUUACUGCCUAAAAAAUGCUCCUGCUGUUGUCCAGCAAAACAGAAAUGACAGUGGAUGCUAAGCUGCAAAUUGUGCCAACUUAUGCUUAUUAUCCAUUAUAUUCAAAUUGUGCCAACUUGAUCAAUGACAAAAAAUGUGAAUUCGAAGUAGCUGAAUUUUCUACAAAACUGUGAAAGCAUGAGAUGAAGUACUAGUAUCAAUCAAGUCUAACAGAUCCACACCGAUGUGAUGCGCCGAUUGCGAUUUCGGUUGUAUUGUUUGAUGAGAUUCCGGAUUGUGUGCCAUGGAGCGAAUAAAUGUCCAUGAAGGAACUACUAGAAAGCAAACAUCCAACGACAUGGUCAGAAUUCGAGAAGGGACUAAUUGAUGAGCGCCACGGGAUUCACUCACCUUUCUGCUCCAUCUACUGCUGCCAGUGCACGUAGAUUGUGCAAGGCAUAUAUGCUUCUCCAAAGAUCGAAAGGUGGGAAGACUGAAACUAGAGAAGGCCAUUCUUAGACAAGCAAAAAGUAUUGCUACAGACUGACUUGAAUUAUACUCAGAUUUGGUUUUGAUGUGUAUAUAUUGAAUAGGAGUGAUCUAUGUCAUUGCUGUGGCAUGAAAUGAAGUAGCUAGAAGCUACAUUAUGUGUCCAUAUUCAUAUUUGUGAAAACAAAUGAAGUAGCUAGAAGCUACAGUUAUGUUUAUGCACGGGUAUUUGUGACCAAUACAAUGCAUUUUUAUUCUAAUUUUUUUUAUUUU